Molecule: long non-coding RNA, 2623 nt
Filed under: Salmo salar (Atlantic salmon)
Lineage: Eukaryota; Metazoa; Chordata; Actinopteri; Salmoniformes; Salmonidae
Description: lncRNA (ENSSSAG00000103623.1)
Source: RNAcentral
UGACAAUAUUGAUUGUGGGAUUUUGGGCAUGUCCACAGUCAAUCUGUGUUUGCAAUUAAAUCAUGCCAAGUGUACAGUCAUUUGAAGAGCUCCCCUACAUGGAACUCAUCACUUGGCAGCGCUUGAGAGUGACAAUGAAAGGGCCAUUCAGCAGCUAAAUCAGUUUGCUGCAAGAACUGGGAUAUGGAGAGUGACACUCAAACUCUGCUUCCUCCCUUUUCGGGGUCUACUGGCAGCCCACUUCACACCUCAGCUCUUUCCACCACAGUGCUGAGAAAGAGAUAAGGGAAUGAUUCCCCCAACAAAUACCAGAAGCUAAUGCAGUACAUCCGCUAGGAGGGAGAAGGAAACAGAGGAACGAAGGAGCCGCCAAGUUCCAGGGAUGUCCGGGGUUUUAGUGGCAGGUCACGACAAGUACCUUUUAUCCGGUUUGCAAUGAACAGCUGUUGGAUCUCCUUCUCAAUCUUUGUGGAUUACGAUUCAUAAUUGAGGGGCUUAGACAAAGGAUACAAUCAAACCAUUCUAUUCUAUUCUUACAAAACACACACAUACAGUUCACUCCCAAUGUCCCACUUACACACGCUUUGGAGAUGACACCACUGCUCAAACUAUAGCACGAAGGAAAGUAAAGAAGGCACUACGACCUAAUUGAAUGGACAGAUCGUUGGGCUCAUUUCAUCAAAUGGCUUAUACCUGCAGCCUUGCUACCUAUAAAAACUUGACAGAAUCCAGAUUUUAAAGCCUUAGUAAUUAUUAGGGAUGUAACGAUUCACCAAUAUGCAUCGAUCCCAGUUCAAAUGAGAUAUGGGUGCAUUGGUCUGUGUGACCCCAAACCGAACUAAAUGUAGCAUGCAUCGUUCAGAAAAUCAAUACAAACGUUGACUUUUUGUUGCUCAAAUUACUUUUUUAUUUAACAAGGUAACUCAGUUAUGAACAAAUUGUUAUUUACAAUGAUGGCCUUCCCUGGCCAAACCCUAACCUGGAUGACGCUGGGCCAAUUGUGCGCUGCCCUAUGGGAUUCUCAAUCACAGCCGGUUGUGAUACAGCCUGGAAUCGAACCAGGGUCUGUAGUGACGCAGUGCUUUAGACCGCUGAGCCAUCGGGAGCCCACUUUCUUUCUGGAGCCCAUCGGGAGCCCACUUUCUUUUCGGGAGCCCAUACUGCUCAUCUUUUGUGACAACUGCGUCCUCUCCUUCAAUGUUGAUCUAAGCAUGUGUUGACAGCAACUGAUCUACAAGUCAUUUUGCAUGCUGAACAACCCCAGGCAAUAUCAGUAGCCUAGUCAAACUGUGUGCUGUGCGUAGCUUCCCGCGCUGACCAACAAGAGUUAGGCCUAUUCCUGAUUUGGCACAUCUGCAUGUCACCUUCAUAAAAUGGCUUGGGCAAUAUUAGGCAAUAUUAGUUGAGUGUCAACCAAUGUAACUUGCUAGAUUAUUUUUAUCACAUGCUAUGUUGAAAAUGGUGUUUUACGGAAUAAAAGUAGCAACGGAGACAACUCAUCUGGCUGCAAUGCAUACAUCUGGGCUUACAUUAGAUUUUAUUUUGGAUGUUCAUGUUCACUAUCAGCAAUAGUUUUGCUUGAAACAACUCACCAGACAGUUUAAUAGGUACACCCAUCUAGUACAGGGUCGGACCCUCUUUGCCUCCAGAUCAGCCUGAAUCUUUAGGGGCAUUCGACAAGGUGUCGGAAAUGGGAUGUUGGUCCAUGCUGAUGCGAUGGCAUCACGCAGUUGCUGCAGAUUGAAAGGCGGUACAUUCAUGCUGCAAACCGCCCGUUCUAUCUGAUCCCAAAGAUCCUCUAUUGGGUUGAGGUCUGGGGACUGACCAGGUCUGGGGACUGACCAGGUCUGGGGACUGACUAGGUCUGGGGACUGACCAAGUCUAGGGACUGACCAGGUCUGGGGACUGACCAGGCCACUCAAGUAAACUGAACUCACUGUCAUGUUCAAGGCAAUGUUUUUCCACUCCUCAAUUGUCCAGUGUUGGUGAUCGCUGUGUGCCCACUGGAGCCGCUUCUUCUUGUUUUUAGCUGAUAGGAGUGAAACCCGGUGUGGUCGUCUGCUGCAAUAGCCCAUCCACGACAAGGAUCGAUGGAUGGGCUAUUGGAUGGUCUAUAACGAGAUGCCAUUUUGUACACCAAUUUUGUAAAGUAACAUUAAUUGUCUGUUUGUGGCCCACCUGUUAGCUUGCACAAUUUUUGCCAUUCUCCUUUGACCUCUCUCAUCAAUGAGCUGUUUUCGCCCACAGGACUGUCACAGACUGGAUGUUUUUCGUUUGUCGCACCUUUCUCAGUAAACUCUAAACUGUCGUGCAUGAAAAGCCCUGGAGGGCAGCUGUUUCUGAGAUAGUGGAUCCGGCGUGCCAGGCACCGACAAUCAUACCACGCUGAAAGUCACUUAGAUCACUUGUUUUGCCCAUUCUUACAUUCAAGUUGAACAGUAGCUGAAUACCUCAAUGCCUGUCUGUCUGCUUUAUAUAGAAAGCCAUGGCUCACGACUAGGGCUGUGGCGGUCACAAAACCUUGUCAGCUGGUGAUUAACAAGCAAAUAAUUGUUGAUCUCAUGGUAAUUGACCAGGCUUCCACACCUGACGCAGUCCUUUGGAACAUCUACAUUUUAAAAAG